This is an RNA transcript of Macaca mulatta (Rhesus monkey), 1706 nucleotides long. RefSeq lists it as uncharacterized. The record is from RefSeq and is a predicted model, not a curated record. NCBI's taxonomy places the organism in Eukaryota, Metazoa, Chordata, Mammalia, Primates, Cercopithecidae.
GGAGGGCGGGCGCAGGAGAGCAGCGGUGUCCCAGAAGCCAAGGGUGGUCAUGGAGCCCCACGCCACAGCGCUUCCUACAGGGACACACCAUCCGGUCUGUGGAGGGGGCUGCAUUGCUGGGAGGGACCCACCUGAUCCCGGAUUCCAGCCUCACCCUGGGUCACCGCUGAGUGUCCCAAGUGGCCCCUUAUCCCCCAGGGCCGGGCGGCGUCCCAACCCCCUUGGGAUGUCUGUGCUCAGAGUGUGGCAGACACGCCCCGGCAGGGACAUCCUCCUCCCCUGCACCCGCCACAGCCGUGGGUUCAGGGUCUCUAUUGUGGGCAGAGAUUCACACAGUCAAGGUGAGGGUCCCAGGAGCACCUGUGACCAGGCCCUGGCUGCCAGGGAGAGGGGGACCCUUAACCGACGGGGCAGACAACCUGAGAUGGACCCUCGUCCAGGGGAGGGCCCCGCCGCCCACAACUCCUUGGCAUUCCUGCACCAGCAGGACGGGCUGGAGGAGGCGGCCCCGGGGCGCCUCGCCGGUGUCAGUGCCCAGCAUCACUGUGCCCCGGUGGAGGGGGAGGCCCUUCCGAGCCUGGGCCUGGAUGUGAAUGAGGGCAGGUUUCUCAUCUCUCUGACCUCAGCUUCCUCAACUGGGAAGGGGAGCCACAGCACCUGCUUGGGGUGAUGAGGAAGGGGGAGCUCAGGGAGAGCCCUGGGCAGGGCUGCCUCCUCACCUUCCUUCAGCCUUUGGACAUGAGCGCAGAGGACCAAGUGAAUGAAUGAAUGACUCAGUCAAUCAACUGAUCCAUCAGUCUAUGGAUCUCUGGACAGUCGGACAGCUGGGCAGCGGGCAGGAUGGGGGACUCUCGCUGAAGCCGCAUUCAUUUGUGUUCAGCUUUAGGCCCACCACUGUGCCCGGACCAGCGGCCCACUCGGUGAGUCGAACGUGCACCUGGCACCCCUCUUUUUGGAAAUCCACGAACACUGGGCUCCCGCAGAGACUGAGGCUGAGCAGGCCACUUCCCUGGAGCUGACUCCACAGCUGUGUAGGUACAGGGUGGCCGUGAACACUUAGGGCUUUCUCAGGCUGUGCACUUCUUGUUCACUGCAGGGAGCAGGGUGUUGGCUCCUGACCAAGCCCUGUCACUGCUGCCCAGCCACACAUGGGGCCCCUUCACCCACCCCUGACCACCUUAUGCAGGGAAGCCACUGUGGAAACAGUCUGGCAGUCCCUCGAAAAAUGAAGUCAUCAACCCCAGCAAUUCCACUCCUGGGCCUAUGACAGAGCUUGCACGUCCCCUCCAAAGCUCAUGUUUAGAUGUGAGCCCCAGUGCUGGAGGUGGAGCCUGGUGUGUUUGGGUCCUGGGGGCGGAUCCCUCAUGGCUGGGUGCCGUGCACCCACUCACCACAGUGAGUUCUCACGAGAUCUUGUUGUUGAAAAGUGUGUUGUACCUCCCCCACAAUUCUCUGUCUUUUGUUCCGGCUCUGGCCAUGCAACAAGCCUGCUCCUCUUUCACCUUCUGCCAUGACUGUAAGCUUCCUGAGGGCUGACCAGAAGCCCAGCAGAUGCCAGCACCAUGCUUCCUAUACAGCCUGCAGAACUGCAAGCAAACUAAACCUCUUCUCAUGAAUUACUCAGCUUCAGAUUUAUCUUUAUAGCAAUGCAAGACCUGACUAUUACAACACAUGCUCCCCAAAAUAAAAAGAAAUAUUCAAACAAA